Molecule: ribosomal RNA, 571 nt
Filed under: uncultured bacterium
Lineage: Bacteria
Description: partial 16S ribosomal RNA
Rfam family: Bacterial small subunit ribosomal RNA
Source: RNAcentral
UGGGGAAUUUUGGACAAUGGGCGCAAGCCUGAUCCAGCCAUGCCGCGUGCGGGAAGAAGGCCUUCGGGUUGUAAACCGCUUUUGUCAGGGAAGAAAUCUUCUGAGUUAAUACCUCGGGAGGAUGACGGUACCUGAAGAAUAAGCACCGGCUAACUACGUGCCAGCAGCCGCGGUAAUACGUAGGGUGCAAGCGUUAAUCGGAAUUACUGGGCGUAAAGCGUGCGCAGGCGGUUUUGUAAGACAGAGGUGAAAUCCCCGGGCUCAACCUGGGAACUGCCUUUGUGACUGCAAGGCUUGAGUGCGGCAGAGGGGGAUGGAAUUCCGCGUGUAGCAGUGAAAUGCGUAGAUAUGCGGAGGAACACCGAUGGCGAAGGCAAUCCCCUGGGCCUGCACUGACGCUCAUGCACGAAGGCGUGGGGAGCAAACAGGAUUAGAUACCCUGGUAGUCCACGCCCUAAACGAUGUCAACUGGUUGUUGGGAAGGUUCCUUCUCAGUAACGUAGCUAACGCGUGAAGUUGACCGCCUGGGGAGUACGGCCGCAAGGUUGAAACUUAAAUGAAUUGACGGGGU